GUUUCAAAGAAGGUUCGAAAAAUACCGAUCGUGUUUUCUGAUACAUGGACUCUUCAUUUGCCAUGGGUCCUCCUCCUUUGGAGCUUCUAGAGCUUGUAGCCUCGGGAGCAGAGCCUGGAAAACUCCUUGGCCAGAUGUUCUAAAGAAAAGCAACUCCUGUAAAUUUGAGAGGGCCAACAUCCACUCUGUGAGCCACUCUUUCCUGCCCCCCACCAAACACACAAGAAAGUGAGGCCCACUACUUCACAGAACCGACAGGAAUGCUUCCUUUUGCCAUGUUCGUUGAGGAUGUGGGUGAAGUGAAGUGGCACCAAGCAAAGGAGUUCCUAAAAUUUUAAGAAGAUGUGAGGGUAUGGGCGGCUUUCCAUUUAUCCAGAAGUCCAACAUAGGUCACUUGAAAACGCCAAAAGAAGGCCAAACGUGUUGUGAAUCUGGAAGAUGAGUUAACUAGCAUCAUGGAAGACCCAAAGACCUCAGCUUCUCAGGCUGGUGAAACAUUUCUUGUACAAUUCAAGAAGUUCUUAAGAAGUUCUUAGUUAAACAGGAAAAAUGUAAAGAAUUUCUGCAAUGCCAAAUUUUGGAUCAGAAGAAUUAAAAAAAUAUAGAUGAAAGAGAAGACUGUCUGAAAAUGCUGCUGGGACAUCUGUAUCUAAUGAAGACACUUAACUUCUGGAGACAGCACAGCAAGUCUUCCCAUUGCAGUCUAACUCAAAGUUGGCUGUAUAAUGGUCUUGAUUAUUUUUCAUUUGCCUGAAGACUACUUCCUUUUCUAUUUUCUUAGUUUUCAUUGUCAUGCACGGAAAUAAAUUAUUGCAUUACAGUUAUGUGCAAAGAGGUUAUUGUAAGAAAAUGUUUAUUUCCACCAAUGUGGGAUUGAUGAAAGGUUCUUCAGGAACAGUUGGUACAUUAGGCAUAAAUGAAUAACCAAACAAAAAUUUCCCUCCUUUGUUUCCAAAACUCAGAUGAAAGACAAGAUUUGGUAAAUUCAACCAUAUAAAUGAAUCCAAUAGAAAUUAAGUGAUGAAACAUUAAAUCUCAAUCUUCUUCCCUCAUUUAUUUAUGUGAGCUCACAAAACAGUAGGAUUUUCUUUAAAUUAAAGGAAAGCAAAAUUAGAAAACAAUAGUGCUUGUUAUAAAAGUGUAACCCUCACUUGAAAGAUGCAAAGUAGAUGGGCAGCCACAACCCAGGUGCCCUUUCAUAACCCUAGGUAGAUGAAAGUAGAUAAUAAGAUUUUACACUGAGGCAAUUGAUGCACUUCAGUACAUUGGAUGGGUUCCCCUAAUUCUUCUACUAGGAGUCCAUUAGCAAAUACAUAAGUAAAUUACUUCUACAGCAAACACUGAGUUUGUAAGCUUAGCUUAGAUUUUUCAAGGUGCCACUUGGAAAGAAAAGAGGGCUCCAUGGGAUUGUAUCUGGUUCUAAAACUUACUAGCUCCACAGCUGUGAGUGUGUUUUUAUGUCUUCAUUGUCCCUCUUUAAUACUCUGUAAAGUGAGGUGUAUAGUACAAGAGCAAUAGAAUAAACUGACUUAAUGCAUGUAAGUCAUCUAGAAAAGCACCUGCUCAUAUUAGGUAUUCUGUUAAUUUACAUAAUAGUGCCACUGCUUAAACUUGAUGAGAAGUAAUAAAGCAUUUCCAAUAAGAAAACAUAUUAAUGAAAUUAAGGCACAGUAAUAUAGUCACCUACAACGUAGCCUGAUUGAUAUUAACUGACAUUUCAUUGUAUUUUGUGCUUCAGUAAUUCUAGUAAGGAAGAGUACAAACCCAGGAAACAGUAAAUCAAGUGAUGACCUUCAUUUCUCUAUUCAUACCUUCUCUUCCUGAGAAUGAUGGCAUGGUGAGCUUCUUUCACCAGUAGGCAAUCAGUAGUUUAUAAAUUGCCCUUGACUAAAUAUCUCAUUUUUAUAUUUAAACUAGUCAACAUUGAAUUUUGUACUUAUUAAUAUAGGCAUUCAAAUUAAAAUCAGGAAUAAGACAAGACUGCUUUAUCCUCAGUUUUUCCUAGUAUUUCUCGAGAAUUUUUUCUAGCAGGAUUUUUAAACUUCAACACUAUUGACCUUUUGAAUCAGAUGACUCAUUGUUUGUGUGUGUUUGUGGAGGUGGGGGGCAAUGUUAUGUGAAUUGUAAAAUGUUUAACAGAAUUCCCUGGCAACCAUCUACUAGACGAUGGUAUCUCUCCCUGUCAGAACAAAAGAAAAACUCUUCAGAGAUUGCUAAAUGACUCUUGAAAGGCAAAAUGGCACUGCUUGAAGAUUACUAUUCAAGAACAGAAAAUGGAAAUGCUAAAGGAAAAGAUUUAUCUGUUUGAAUGACAAAGAGCACCUGGAACUUCAUGAAUACCAAACCAGAACUCCAAAACAUUUUAGACAAUACCCUAGGAAAAGACAAUGAGGAUCACAACCCCAGGAAACCCAGCAGAAUGAAUCCAUUGGGCAUGACAAAUUAAACACAAAGGGGGAGAAUCCAACAAAAAGAAAAAGUUAUGACAAGGCUUUUAAAACUUUUGACUUCAUCUCCCUAAUGAGUGUAUAAUUCAAUCUUAUUAUUGUACUGAUUAGUAUUUUUCUGAUUCUAGAGUUGCACACCAUUCCUUGUGCUAUACUGGCUAUUUAUCAUCUUCUUAUGUCUACGUUUUAAUUGGGUUGUCUAUUAAUGAGCUCUAAGAAUUCUUUAUAUAUUCUGCUCAUAGGUUAUAUGCAUUGUAAAUAUGGUCUGUUUAAGGACUACUUUUCAUUUUAAUGAUGUCAUUUAAAGUCCUAAAUUUUGAUGGAAUCUCAUUUGUCAAGUUUUUUCUUUUAUACAUCAUGUUUUUUGUAUCCUAGGUAGUUCUUGCCUAUCCUGAAUUCAUAAAUAUUUUCCC
Molecule: long non-coding RNA, 2860 nt
Organism: Heterocephalus glaber (naked mole-rat)
Lineage: Eukaryota; Metazoa; Chordata; Mammalia; Rodentia; Bathyergidae
Source: Ensembl